UACGUAGGGGGCUAGCGUUGUCCGGAAUCAUUGGGCGUAAAGCGCGUGUAGGCGGUCCGGUAAGUCCGCUGUGAAAGUCGGGGGCUCAACCCUCGAAUGCCGGUGGAUACUGUCGGGCUAGAGUGCGGAAGAGGCGAGUGGAAUUCCUGGUGUAGCGGUGAAAUGCGCAGAUAUCAGGAGGAACACCAAUUGCGAAGGCAGCUCGCUGGGACGUAACUGACGCUGAGACGCGAAAGCUAGGGUAGCAAACGGG
Molecule: ribosomal RNA, 253 nt
Filed under: uncultured bacterium
Lineage: Bacteria
Description: partial 16S ribosomal RNA
Rfam family: Bacterial small subunit ribosomal RNA
Source: RNAcentral